Molecule: ribosomal RNA, 856 nt
Filed under: uncultured organism
Description: bacterial SSU rRNA
Rfam family: Bacterial small subunit ribosomal RNA
Source: RNAcentral
CUGAUAGAUAAGUCAGUGGUGAAAUCUGCGGCUUUAACCGUAAAACUGCCAUUGAUACUGUUNAUCUAGAGUACAUAUGAGGUAGGCGGAAUAUAGUAUGUAGCGGUGAAAUGCAUAGAUAUACUAUAGAACACCGAUUGCGAAGGCAGCUUACUAAAUUGUUACUGACGCUGAGGCACGAAAGCGUGGGGAGCGAACAGGAUUAGAUACCCUGGUAGUCCACGCAGUAAACGAUGAUUACUCGAUGUUGGCGAUACACUGUCAGCGUCUGCGCGAAAGCAUUAAGUAAUCCACCUGGGGAGUACGAUCGCAAGGUUGAAACUCAAAGGAAUUGACGGGGGCCCGCACAAGCGGAGGAGCAUGUGGUUUAAUUCGAUGAUACGCGAGGAACCUUACCUGGGCUUAAAUGUAGUGUGCAUUAGCGAUGAAAAUCCUAUUUCCUUCGGGACCCACUACAAGGUGCUGCAUGGUUGUCGUCAGCUCGUGCCGUGAGGUGUCGGGUUAAGUCCCAUAACGAGCGCAACCCCUAUUCUUAGUUGCCAUCAGGUAAUGCUGGGGACUCUAAGAAAACUGCCGGCGCAAGCCGUGAGGAAGGUGGGGAUGACGUCAAAUCAGCACGGCCCUUAUGUCCAGGGCUACACACGUGCUACAAUGGUCGGCACAAAGGGCAGCUACACAGCGAUGUGAUGCUAAUCUCCAAAGCCGAUCCUAGUUCGGAUCGAAGUCUGCAAUUCGACUUCGUGAAGUUGGAUUCGCUAGUAAUCGUAUAUCAGCAAUGAUACGGUGAAUAUGUUCCCGGACCUUGACACACCGCCCGUCAAGCCAUGGAAGCUGAGGGACCUGAAGUUUGUAUCCG